Molecule: ribosomal RNA, 506 nt
Filed under: fungal endophyte
Lineage: Eukaryota; Fungi
Description: eukaryotic LSU rRNA
Rfam family: 5.8S ribosomal RNA (bases 189-342)
Source: RNAcentral
AGCGGAGGGAUCAUUACUGAGUUUACGCUCUACAACCCUUUGUGAACAUACCUAUAACUGUUGCUUCGGCGGGUAGGGUCUCCGUGACCCUCCCGGCCUCCCGCCCCCGGGCGGGUCGGCGCCCGCCGGAGGAUAACCAAACUCUGAUUUAACGACGUUUCUUCUGAGUGGUACAAGCAAAUAAUCAAAACUUUUAACAACGGAUCUCUUGGUUCUGGCAUCGAUGAAGAACGCAGCGAAAUGCGAUAAGUAAUGUGAAUUGCAGAAUUCAGUGAAUCAUCGAAUCUUUGAACGCACAUUGCGCCCGCCAGCAUUCUGGCGGGCAUGCCUGUUCGAGCGUCAUUUCAACCCUCAAGCUCUGCUUGGUGUUGGGGCCCUACAGCUGAUGUAGGCCCUCAAAGGUAGUGGCGGACCCUCCCGGAGCCUCCUUUGCGUAGUAACUUUACGUCUCGCACUGGGAUCCGGAGGGACUCUUGCCGUAAAACCCCCCAAUUUUCCAAAGGUGA